UGAGCAAUCUGCCCUUCUCAUCGGAAUAAGCGUUGGAAACGACGUCUAAUGCCGAAUACGACCUCCUUUCGCAUGAUCGGAGGUGGAAAGCUCCGGCGGAGAAGGAUGAGCUCGCGGCCUAUCAGCUAGUUGGUGUGGGUAAUGGCCACAAGGCGACGGACGGGUAGCCGGCCUGAGAGGGUCGACCGGCCACACGUGGGACUGAGACACGGCCCAGACCUCCGUACGGGAGCAG
Molecule: ribosomal RNA, 235 nt
Filed under: uncultured bacterium
Lineage: Bacteria
Description: partial 16S ribosomal RNA
Rfam family: Bacterial small subunit ribosomal RNA
Source: RNAcentral